RNAcentral lists this long non-coding RNA (17318 nucleotides) under Vigna radiata. Its description in RNAcentral is "long non-coding RNA (VRAD_LNC007580)". The record is from RNAcentral. Lineage: Eukaryota; Viridiplantae; Streptophyta; Magnoliopsida; Fabales; Fabaceae.
UAAAUUAAGUUUUGUGAAUGUGAAUUGUUUGGUUGAACGUACGUACCCGCCGAGUCCCAUGGAGAUGGCGCCGGCGGCGACUUCCGCUAUGCCAGCGGUGAGAACGAUGGAGGAGGUGGCAUUGGCGCCGGAGAGGCCGGCGGCAAGGGCGAAGGGGACGGUGAGGCCGUCGGAAACGCCGAUGAUGAUGUCGCGGACUAUUUCGCCGGCGGUGAAGUGCUUCUCGGUGUGUUGGCUGAGAAGGCUCUUUCUCUCAGGUUCGACGCUUAUUCCGUGUUCGGCAGCGGCCAUUGGUGCAAUCUUGUGAGUGUGUUCGAGCUGGCGAAUGUGCUACUGAAUCCAAACAAAGCCUUGCUGCUUUGCACAUACUUGAUUGUGAAUAGGACAAAAUAUCCAAGCCGUGGAUGAUAUCCACGUGGAAAAUAUCAACGGAUCAACAUUUGAAUAUUUGUCUUUAUUUUUUUCUAUAUUUUUAUUUGUUAUUCAUUUUUAUCACUAUUGUUUUUAUUUUUUUAUACAUUUAUCAAAAUUUAAUAUAUUAAAAGUUAAAAGAUGAAAAAUGUUAAUUUUUUUAAUUUCAUUUAGGUGAUAUAUUAUAAUUUUUAUUAGUUUAUUAAAAUGAGAUUUCAUUAUGAUUUAAAAAAUAAAAGUAAGUAGACAUAUAGAAUAUUUUUAAAUUUGAAUAUCUCUUUUUUUGGUAAUAUUUUAAGUUUUAUCAAUUUUGUUUGAUUAAGUUUUGUAAAUAUAAUAAAUGUCUUGGUUAUCUUGAAAUUUAUUUAAUAAUUUAAUUUAAAUUUGAAAUAUAUAUAUAAUUAUAAUCAUUUUAUAAAUAUUUAGUAUUGAAGAAAUGACAAUAUAAAAAUAAAUUUUUCCCGAAACUCAUCCCGUUGAGCCGUUAGCAUCCUUAAACACUACCACCGUCACAUUAUUUCUAAACUGAUCUUUUAAUUAUUUAAAAAUAUUAUAACCAUCAAACCUUCCAAAAAAGAAAAAAGGUAGAAUUUAUACUAUUCUACAAAAUUUUACAAGUGGUUAAUGUUCUUUACUCCAUGAAUAAUGCUUAAGUAUUUAAUAUCGUUAUAUUUAGUUUUUAAUAAAAAAGAAAUAUUCAUAUGUAGUCCCUAAAUGGAUAUAUUUUACUAAUCUCAAAACCAAGAAAUUUCCAAUACCUAACUAAACCACUUAACAUAAUUUGUAUCACUUAAAAACAAACUUACGUCCACAUCAAACUAUAUGUAAUAAUAACUUAGAAAUCUUGUCAGCUACCUUUGAAAAUGUAAAUAAAAGAAAAUAAAUUAAAAAUGAGAAAUUGAUAAUAAAAGUUUAACGUUUUGAAACUUGUAAUUAACAAGUAUUGGUUAUAAGCCACAAUCACCAACGGAAUACCAAUCAGCCUACUAAGUACCUUUCUGCCUUCCUCUUCCUAUCUUCCUUUGUUUAGCUUGAAGACUAUGCAACAUUGCUUCCGCUGCUAUAAAGAGGGCACAUUCCGCAUUCUUUUAUUGUCAUUAUUGAGCGAUAAUCUGGCAGCAGAAAGUUGCAAGCCUUUGGACUGAUCUCAAAAGUGAAGCUGCGAGCAUCACUGAGCCUCCUAAGGUUCAUGCCGCUCCUCCUUACGCUCUCCAAGUUAAAUUUCCACAUAAAUGUGUGAUCUUUAUCAAGGACUCUGUAACUAUAACCCCAUCUGAAAUAGUUGAUUAACUCAUCAUUAUUUGGAAUUAUCUGUGUGCCAUCAUCAUCACAUUCAAAUUUUAGGCUGUAACCAAAAUAUAAGAAUCUGUCUUUAAUAGCAUUCGUAUCUAACACUCCAAAAACAAUACACAAAGCGAAACCAAUGAGCCUAUCAUCGCUGCAAAAACUUAAAUCUUCAUUUGUAGUCACUGAACUUCCCUUACCACGAAAGGGGAACCAAUGAGGAACUGCAGUCCCUGGAAAACAGAAGAACACGGACCUACACGCAUCGUGGGUCAUCCUGAGCCUUGCAUCCUCCUCAAUGUUAGCACGAGCAUUUGAAUCCAGUUGUUGGGCAUUGGUGAAAUGAAAUUUGAAGACACCCUCCUUUGAAUCUGAGAGGUUUUGAUUUGACAUCACUCUUCUAAUUGAUGUGCAGUCCAAUGCCACCAGUUGUUUUAGAAAAGGUGGAAUCUGUGGGAUGCAUUCAAGAUUUUUACAGCCACUUAAAUCAAGUGAUUUCAAGCUUGAAAGAUGAGCAAUGCUUUCAGGAAGGUUCACGAUUCCGCUCUCACUCAGUGACAGUUCCAUUAAUGACGACAUGCUACCAAUGUGUGCUGGGAUUUCUUUUAAUUUGGCACACUCCGAACAAUCAAGUUUACAGAGAAGCUUAAGAUUAACAAUGGAGUUUGGAAGUGACUCGAGAUCAGUGCACCUGUUGAGCUGUAGGGAUCGAAGCUUAGCCAAAUUGUCAAAUGAGGAAGGCAGUUCUUUAACAGCCGUAUGUGUUAAGUUAAUGUGAGCAAGAGUUUGUGCCGGCUCCGUGAUCUCUGGGAAGGUUCUCAAGUUAAAGCAUCCACACAAAUCAAGUUUCCUCAACUUCAAUUUGAAAAUGGUGCUUGGAAAAGUUUGAAGUGAUUCACAGAAGGUAAGGUCUAACUUGCAUAGUCUGGUGAGGCUUCCAAUGGAAGAUGGAAUAAUCUCAAGAUUCUUGCAACCUCGCAAACUCAGUUGUUCAAGCCCUACCAAACGCCACAAGGAUGAAGGCAGUGCCUGUAUGGCUGUGCCGUCUAAGAUUAGAACCGCUAAAUUUUCCAUAGUGUUCUCAAUCUCAGGGAAAUUUUGCAAUUUUGAGCAAUCUCUGAGACAAAGUUUGUUUAGGAAUUUAAUCUGAGAAAGGUCAAAUGGAAAUAUUGUAAGGGAAGAACAGUUUGAGAGAUCUAUGAAACAGAUCUUAUUAGUCACUUCUUUUUCUUCAUCUGAUUCCCAAUAUCGGUCAAAAGUAAUGGAGGAAAUUUCAGUGACAUUGUAUCUGAAGAGAUUUUCAGGAAAAAGAAUGCGCGGUGGUCCUAAGAAAUUUCGACGUUGAGGCCUCGGUUUGACAUGAGGGAAUAUUGGACCGAUUAAUGAUGACGAUGGUGGAGCAUAACAUAUUUGGGUUUGACUGAUUGAAAACAUUUCAAGCUUGCCACACCAGGAAAGAUUAAUGCAUCCUGGUGGUGAUCUGGAUAGAAUAUUGCUGGGAACAAUUGCACUAUUGAGAUUAUGACAGUCAUCUAAACGUAAAGAAGUGAGCUUGGUGAGUAAUAUGGAAGAGUGAACUUUAAUCAACUUUGGACAAUCAUUCAGAAUUAUUUCUUCAAUAUUUGGUGACAGGGAAAGGUCUUGUAUUCUACUAAGUUUAUCAGAAUAACUCAGGUCGAGCCUUUUCAACUUCGGUAAACUCUGCCACAAAAAGGAAAUGAAUCAGGUAAUAAAAAAAAAAAAACUAAAAUGAAGCUUAUUUAUUUUUCUUCAAUAAACUCCUACUUACAUUACCUGUUUUUUACCUUGAACAAACAAAAUUAUAGUGGUUAUAAAUUUGAUAGUUAUUAUAAAAAUUCACAAAAUUUAACAUGAUUUUGUUUCCUAUCCAAAAUUACAUCCUAAUAAUUUCAACCUUAUGAAAGUAAUUUAUAAUAGAUGACAAUGUGAAAAUACUUUAUAUUAUGCAUGUAUCACAUAUUUACCUUUAUUUAUAUUCUCUUGUCUCUCUUUUUCUUUCUAAUAAAAAUAUAUUGUAAAAAUUUAAAUGAGAACGACAUUAAUUACUCUUAUAAAAAUAAACUGACAAAGUGAGUUAAAAUUGAACCUUAGAUAGGUUGUAUGUUAAUGUUAAGUGAUGCAGACAAUGUAUAAAUCCAUCUUUCCGUGAUUUAUUAAAUAAAUAAUUUAUUAUAGGUUAUAUUGAAGUUAUAUUAUAAUAAAAGAAUUAGAUUAAUUAAUUUAAGUCUUUAAUAAAUUUAAAUUUAUUUAAUUAACUGAGUAUUCAAUUUUUUUUUAUAUUUUCUGAUUAAGAUAUUAAAUUUAUAUAUUUCACUUGUUUAAUUUUUCAAUUAAUUAUAUGAUAUAUGAAUGUUAUUUUGCUUAUUUGUCAACAUAUUAAUAAAUAAAAUUAAUAAAAAUUUCAAUAAAAUAUUUAAAUUUAUAAUACCACUUAAACUUCAAGGAUAAUGCCCAUAAAUGAAAAAUAAAUAAAUUCAUAUUAGAUAUUAAAACAUAUAUUUUAAUCCAAAAUUUUGAAAUAAUAGGUUUGUGAGUUCUUAUAUGUUCUCUAUCUUAUUCAUUUCUACAAUAUAAGAUUUUUAACUUAUCUUAAAUUUCUAAUCAAUGAAACAAUGUGCUUUAUUUUUCAAGAACUUAGUAGAUAUUACAAAAAAGAGCAUUAUUAAAUUGUUAGAGAGAGAGAAGAAGAGGUCGAUGUCUCUCUCCUUUAGAACAAAAAGUUUAUCGAGCAAGAUGUCACUCAAGUUAUGUGAUCAUUGAAGUAAAGAAAUCUUUCUUUUGGAUUAGGAAACAAGGUCAUUCUUUGAGGCUGAUGAUGACUAUAAGAUGCAUGAAUAUGUAUACACUUUUGUAUGAUAUACAUGAUGUUAUAUAUUGUAUGUGAUUCCAUUGAUGAUCGUUAUGAGUGUGACCUUAAGUGCAUUUUGUCCUUUUAUGGGUAUGUUUUGACCAUUUUAUGAGCAUGUGGUGAGGGAAAUCUAAAGUUAUAUUAUGACCGAAAUAUUAAAUACAAAACUUAUUAUAGAAAAAAAAAUUAUGCAUCAAUGGUGAUAUAAUCACACAAAUUAAAGUAUGAAGUGGUGAGAGGUUGAAGAAGGUUUGGCUAUGAAGUUAUCAUCUACAUAUUUGAUUUAUAAUUAUCUUUAGAAGCAUGCUAAAUAUGAUUGUAAUGAUAUAUGCAUAAUUGAGUGGGUCUAAUAAAAGAAGUAUCAAAACAAAUAAUGUAGAGUAGGCACAAAGUAACAAAAAGGAAUAUAGAUAACUUGAAAAACCUGAUCUUCUUCCCAAAGUUGUUCAAGAUCGCAGUAUGGCAUUUCGAGUCUCACUAGAUUUUCUGGGCAAAAGUUCGGUGGUAAAGAUCUUUGAGGGAAACCGUGCCAAUAAAAAAUCUUCAAAGUAUCUGGUAGAGUUACAAUAGACGAUGCAACUCUGGACCCAUAAGAUAAAUAAUCAAAGAGCAUAAACAUCCUAAGAUUAUCCAUCUUUUCGAAUGUUUGUCCAUGUACUAUAACUUCUUUUAUUUCCCGCAAAUUUAGUAAGAUACCCUGAAUUGCAUCUGACCCCUAAAAGUAAAUCAAUGUAAAAAAUAAAUAAACAUGAAAUAUUCCAUAAUGUUUAGUAACAACUAAGUGGUUUACAAUUUAAGAAAAGUAAAAACAUACCUUGUUCUUUUUUAAAACCUCAAGACUUUCCUCACCCUUGAACAACCGACUACGUUUUCCAGGAUAAUGAGGACACUCUUGACGAACAAUUUCUUGACCCAUUUCUUGUAUUAGAUCGUGCAUUUCAAUUAUACCAUGAGAGAUAGAUAUUAGACAUCUGUCUUUGAGAAUAUCCAUUCCAAUCUUAGAAGAAAAACCACAGUCAUCUAAUCUUUCUUGUACCACACUCUCCUCGUCUCCCCUAUAAAAGCAUGCGAUGUCAAGAAAUAUAUUCUUCUCCUCCUCAUCAAGCCCAUCAUAACUUAAUUUUAAUACACUAAAAAUUUUAAGAUGUUGGCAUUUUUUCAACUUUUGUAACUCACUUUCCCAUGCUUCUCUUGUUCUGCCAUAAAGUAAUGAGCCCAAAAUUUGGAGAGCUAAUGGAAUUCCUUUGGCAUAUCUCAACACCUCUUCUACCAAGUCCAUGUACGUUGUUUCCUGUGAAGAGUUUUGUUUAAAAGCAUGUAAAGUAAAAAGUUUUAGAGAAUUGAGUUCAUUCAACUUCUCAACUUCGUAGAUGUCAUCAGCUCCAACAUUCUUUAACACUUGAAUGUCUCUACUGGUUAUAAUAAUUCUACUGCCUUGUCCAAAACUAUUACACCUUCCUAACAAUUGUUUAAGUUGAACCGAAUCAGUAACAUCAUCAAGAAUAAUAAGAAUCCUCACUUGUUUGAGUCUUUCACUGUAGUAUAAACUAGGAGAUGGUACUUCAUUUAGAAGCUCAGACAUAUAUUUUUUUCUGACAGUGUCUAUUCCAUCUCUUUCUAUUUUUUGUUGAGUGUCUAAAACAAGACUUCUGGAAUCAAAUUGCUUUGCAAAUGUGUGAUAUAUUUGUUCAGAAAUUGUAGUUUUUCCUAUUCCUCCCAUACCACAAAUUCCUAUGAUCCGAAUAUCUGAUGACUCAAAACGCAUCAAUAACCGAAUGCUUUCAAUAUGUUUUUCAAUGCCGAUAAUUCCUGGAUCAUAACUAAUGGAAUAAAGAUCCAAUUUUUUCAAAAUAUCUUUAACAAUUUCUUCAACAAGUGUGUUUUCUGACCUGACAGAUAAUUUGGAAAAUAAAAUUUUAGUAUUCAAGCACAAAGCUAAACUAAAGAAAAAUUCAGAAGAGUGAACAUCAUUGAAGAGAUGUUCAAAGUAAGUAUACGACAUUAUAUAUUAGCUUGGUUGGUUUAAGAAUUGAAAAUCAAGAUUGCAAAAGUUCUACAGUAACUGUUUGUGACUUUAAGAGAAAAGUGAUAUGAUCAAAUCCAUGACCCAUUGAGAAAAGGGGAAAAAAAGAGACGCUUGAAGUAUGAUAAGAUCAACAGAUUUUAGUAAAUGAAAAGAGAUUCUGUAUAUCUGAAAAGUGGAUGUAAGAAAUAUAUGACCUGAUAACGUUUGAAUCCCAACCGGAGAGUCCAGAAGCUUCGGUUAGAGCAUCCUUCCAUCUUUGCACUUUGUCCAUGUCGUCUUUAAACCGCUGUUCAUGCUCAUCGAAAGCUGCUUUGUAUCUUUCUUCCUGCUUCCUGACAGUUGAUGGAUCCACUUUGUAGAAAACAGGUAUCACAUCCCUUUCAUAUAUCUUCUUGCAGUGAAGUAUCUUAAUCAGUUCAUUCAAGCACCACGUGGAAGAUGCAUAGUUUUCGGAGAAAACGAGGACAUAGAUCUUUGAUUCUUCUAUCGCAGUUUGGAGUGCAGGCGAAAUUUCUUCGCCUCUUUGUAAUCUCUGAUCCAUAUAUGCUUCGAUGUGGUUCCUGUGCAGUGCGUCAUAAAGGUGACUGAUGAAAUUGUAACGCGUAUCUUCUCCUCUGAAGCUCAGAAACACAUCAUACUUAGUGGGAGAAGUGGGCAUAGCUAAUGACGAAGAACUCUCUGCCAUUGGAAUCAAUUUUCUCUCCUUUCUCUUACUGCAGCGGAAGAAGAGUGAGUUUGUAAACAGAAAAAUUAUUUUGAAAAGUUAGAAAGCUGCAAGACUAGAUUUUCUUAUGCUAAAUUCAUAACAUAAGGACAAACAAAUAAACCUUUUGAAAAAAAUGUAGUCAAAAGAAAAUAAAAAGCAUGAGUCAUCUAUUACAGCAAUUAGGCAAAAGAAAAUAUUUUUUUUAAAAAAAAGUAGUCAAAAGAAAAUAAAGCAUGUUUCAUCCACUACAAUAAAGCAUGAGUCAUCAUCCACUGCAGGCAAAAGACAAAUAUUCUGUCAAUAUAUACAAGUAGUGGAAAAAAUAAUAUAAAACGCAUUUAUAAAAGUAAAUAUUUUAAUUAACUUUUAUACUAUUAUAAUAAUAAAACAUUUAAAUAUAUUUACUAAUUUUAAAUAGGACUUUCAUGUUGUUUUAUAUAUCUGUAUUUAAUUUGUCUAAAAAAAACUCGCUUCGUUACAUGUCUCAUUAUUUAUCGGAUAAGAUGAAAAAUUAUUAUUUUUGUAUGUAAAUUCACUUACACUUUUUUUUUUUUACAUAGGAUUUUUUUGUGUGUAAUUGGUACAAACAUCUUAUCUUUAUCUCGAGACAAACCUAAUUUGUAGUUGGAACUAAAAAAAAUUAUUGUUAUCUACUAUCAAAAUUGUAAACUCAAAAAUUCAUAUGUAAAAAUAGACGAAAAGAUUCCAAUAUAAUUACGUAGGAAAAAAAUAUGUAUUUAAUUAUAUAUAUAAAAAAUUAUAUUUAAUUAUACACGAAAAAAUUUGUAUAUAAUUACUAUUUUUUAAAAAAAUUAAAAAUUAAUUAUUAAUAUAACAAAUUUAAUAUAGAUUAUUUUUUUUCUAUAACAUAAAAUUUAAUAGGAAAAAUAUUUUAAUUGUUUUAACUAUUUGUUAGCUGAAUUGUUUUAACUAGUUUUCUUGGGCUAUGAUAUCGUGAGGUUUUAUUACAUCUAGGUACGUGAAUUAUUAUUUCGAUUUAUUAGCUAUAUAAAUAUUUAAAUAUGGAAAGGAAUAUUUUGACAACCAGUUUUUAACAAUAUUGUAGCAGUUUAACAAAUAAUAAUAAAACAUUAAAAUAUAUUAUUUAAUUAAAUAUAAAUUAGAUUAUUAAAUAAAAAAAAUAGUAAUAGUUAUUUUAAUAAUAAACAAGUUUUGACGUAGGUAGUUUUGGAAAUUAUUUUAAUGGCUGAAAAUAAUAUUUGUAACAAUUUUUAACAACCACAAAUUACAUCUUGAAUAAUAAAAAUUAGCAUUAUUUAGUUGAUUUAUAAUAGAAUUUCAACAAAUAAAAUUAAAAAAUCUCCCGCAUUAAUAAUUUAUUUACCAUCUUUAUAUAAUUUAUUUUGACAAUAAAGACAUGUAAUUGAGAAUGAAUUUUUAAUUUAAAAAAAUCUGAAAAUCUUAUAUAUUAUAUACAUGAAUGGUUUUAUGCUUGGAAAAAUAAUAAUAAUAUACCAUAAUAUAUGCUAAAUAUGAAAGCCGAAUAUGCUAAAGAAGUUAAUGAAGCCCAUACAUUAAGAGUUUCAACAAAAUGCAAAUUUGGGACAACGGAGCAAGCAACUUACGUCCACAUCAAACUAUAUCUAAUAAGUUGUCAGCUACCUUUGAAAAUGUAAAUAAAAGAAAAUAAAUUAAAAAUGAGAAAUUCAUAAUAAAAGUUGAACGUUUUGAAACUUGUAAUUAACAAGUAUGGGUGAUAAGCCACAGUCACCAAGGGAAGACCAAUUAGCAGAAAAGCAAGAGACUAACCCACUAAGUAGCUUUAUGCCUUCCUCUUCCUAUCUUCCUUUGUUUCCUUUGAAGACUCUCCAACACUGCUUCCGCUUCUAUAAAGAGGGCACACUCCACAUUCUUUUAUUGUCAAUACUGUAAUAUAAUCUGGCCACAGAUUAUCAUAAUUACUUGUACAUAUACUGAUCUCAAAAGUGAAGCUGCGAGCAUCACUGAGCCUCCUAAGGUUCAUGCCUCUCCUCCUUAGGCUCUCCAAGUUAAAUUUCCACAUGAAUGUGUGAUCUUUAUCAAGGACUCUGUCACUUAAAUGCCAUGUGAAAUAGGUGUUUAACACAUCAUUAUUUGGAAUUAUCUGUGUGCCAUCAUCAUCACAUUCAAAUUUUAGGCUGUAAACAAAAGAACUGCAUCUGCCUUUAAUAUCAUUCGUAUCUAACACUUCAAAAACCACACACAAAGCGAAACCAAUGAGCCUAUCAUCGCUGCAGAAACUUAAAUCUUCAUUUAUAGUCAGUGAAGGUCCUUCGCUGCGAAAAGGAAACCAAUGAGGAACUGCAGUUCCUGGAAAACAGAAGCACACAGACUCAUAUGCAUCGUUGCUCAUCCUAAGCCUUGCAUCCUCCUCAAUGUUUGCACGACCACCUGAAUCCAGUUGUUGAGAAUUGGUCAAAUGAAAUCGGAAGAAACUGUCUUUGGAGUUUGAGAGGUUUCGCACAGGAGAAUUUGACAUCGCUCCUCUAAUGGAUGUGCAAUCCAAUGCCACCAGUUGAUUUAGGAAUGGGGGAAUAUGUGGAAUGCAUUCAAGCUUUUUGCAAUCGCUUAAAUCAAGCGAUUUCAAGCCUGAAAGAUGAGCCAUGCUCUCGGGAAGGUUCACGAUUCCACUAUUACUCAGUGACAGUUCCAUUAAUGAAGACAAGCUACCAAUGUGUGUUGGGAUUUCUGUUAAUUUGGCACACCCCGAACAAUCAAGUUUACAGAGAUGCUUUAGAUUAACAAUGGAGUUUGGAAGUGACUCGAGAUCAGUGCACCUGUUGAGCUUUAGGGAUCGAAGCUUAGCCAAAUUGCCUAAUGAGGAAGGGAGUUCUUUAACAGCCGUAUCUGUUAAGUUAAUUUGAGUAAAAGUUUGUGCCGGCUCCGUGAUCUCUGGGAAGGUUCUCAACUUAACGCAUUCACUCAAAUCAAGUUUCCUCAACUUCAAUUUGAAAAUGGUGCUUGGAAAAGUUUGAAGUGAUAGACAGUAGGCAAGGUCUAAUUUGCAUAGUCUGGUGAGCCUUCCAAUGCAAGAUGGAAUAAUCUCAAGAUUCCAGCAACGGCUCAAACUCAGUUCUUGAAGUCCUACCAAAUGCCACAAGGAUGAAGGUAGUGCCUGUAUGGCUGUCGCGUCUAAGAGGAGAACCGCUAAAUAUUCCAUCGUGUUCUCAAUCUCGGGGAAAUUUUUCAAUUUUGAGCAACCACUGAGACGAAGUUUGUUUAGGAAUUUAAUCUCAGAAAGGUCAAAUGGAAAGAUUGUAAGGGAAGAACAAUUUGAGAGAUCUAUUAUACAGAGCUUCUUGAGACUUUGAAAGUUUAAGGGCACACCUCCAGUGAGUUGUAUCGGCCUUUCAUCUACGUAUAUUUUAUUAUUAGUCACUUCUUCUUCUUCCUCAUAUCUCAUAAUAAUAAUUGAGAAAAUUUCAUUCCGAGAGCGUAUUGUUAAGGAACAACGAAAUUCAACACGAACACUCCUAACAAAGCAUCUUGGGAAAGCUCUACAUCCGUUUGACUGCCGUAUCAAAUGAGGGAAACUUGAGACAGUUACUGGUUGACCCUCCAGUUUCACGUGAGGGAAUGUGAGUUGACUGGUUGAAAACAUUUUAAGCUUGACACACCAGGAAAGAAGAAUGAAUCCUGGUGAUCUGUAUAGAAUAUUGCUCGGAACAAUUACACUAUUGAGAUCAUAACAUUUAUCUAAACGUAAAGAAGUGAGCUUGGUGAGUAAUAUGGAAGAGUGAACUUUAAUCAACUUUGAACAAUCAUUCAGAAUUAUUUCUUCAAUAUUUGGUGACAUGGAAAGGUCUGGUAUUCUAGUAAGUUUCUUAGAAUAACUCAAGUUGAGCCUUUUCAACUUUGGCAAACUCUGCCACAGAAAGGAAAUGAAUUAGGUAAUAAAGAAAAACUGAAAGAAAGUUUUUCUAAUAUGCUUACAACGUAUGCAAACUCAUCUCCAUAAUAUUGAUUUAUAAUUAUCUUUAAAAUCAUGAUAAUAUGGUUCUAAUAAUAUAUGUAUAAUUGUGGAGUUCUAAUAAAAGCAAUAUUAAAACGAAUAAUGUGAAGAAAGCACAAAGGAAUUACGAAAACAAGUAGAUGUACAAAGUAAAAAACAUGCUUCUAGAAUUUUUUUUUUUUUUUUAUUUUUAAAAGUCUAAAACACAAAGGAACAUAAAUAACGUGAAAAACCUGAUCUUCUUUCCACAGUUGUUCAAGAUGACAGCCUGGCAUUUCGAGUCUCACUAGAUUUUGUGGACAAAAAUUCGAUGACAAAGAUUUUUGAUGAAAACCAGUAAAGAAUCUUCAAAGUGUCUGGCAGACUUACUAGAGAUGACUCAAGAAACAAAUUUCGAUGCCAACAACUAGAAUAAGAAUAGAGCAUAAGCAUCCUAAGAUUGUUCAUCAUUUUGAAAGCUUCUCCAUGUACUUUAACUACUUCCAUUUCAUCUAUAUCUUGUAAUAUACAUUGUAUUGCAUCUGACCCCUGAAAGUAUCAAAGCAAUUAGGAAAAAGAAAACAUAAAUGUUGCAUUGCAAGCUAUUUAAUUACAUCUUAAUGGUUAGCAAUUUAUCAUAACAUAAAUCCAUGUGACUCUUUCAAUUGAACAUACCUUGUUAUUUCUUAAAAUCUCAUGAAUUUCGUUAGCCUUGAACAAUCGACUACGUUUUCCAGGAUGCUGAAGACACUCUUUACUAACAAUUUCUCGACCCAUUGCUUGUAUUAGAUCGUGCAUCACAAUUCUACCAUCCAAGAUAGAUAUGAGGCAUUUAUCUUUGAGAACAUCCAUUCCAAUCUUAGAAGAGAAACCACAGUCACUUAGUGUUUCUCCUACCACAAUCUCGUUGUGUCCUUUAUAAAAGCAAGCGAUGUCAAGAAAUAUAUUUUUCUCCUCUUCACGGAGCCCAUCAUAACUUAAUUUUAAUAUGUUGAAAAUAUCAUGAUCUUGACACUUCUCCAAGUUUUGCAACUGACUUUCCCAUGCUUCUCUUUGUCUGCCAUAUAACAAUGAACCCAAAAUUUGGAGAGCUAACGGAACCCCUUUUGCAUAUCUCAACAUCUUUACUGACAAGUCCAUGUAAGUGAUUUCUUCUGAAGAAUUUUGUUUAAAAGCAUGUAAGUUAAAAAGUUUUAGAGAAUCAUGAAAAAUCAACUCCUUAAGUUCGUAGAUAUCAUCAGCCCCAGCAUUCUUUAGCACUUGUCUAUCUCUACUGGUCAUAAUGAUUCUACUGCCUUUCCCAAAGCUACGCUCUCUCAUUACUUUGCUAAGUAUAGUUGAAUCGGUCACAUCAUCAAGAAUGAGGAGGGCCUUUGUCCGUUUGAUCCGUUCAUUGUAAUGUGAUAAAUGGGAUGGUGCUUCCUUUAGAAGUUCAGACUGAUAUUUUAUUAUGAUGUCGUGUAUUCCCUCUCUUUGUAGUUUUUCUUGAACAUCUAAAAUAAGGCUAUGUGAAUCAAAAUGCAUUGCAAAUUUGUGAUAUAAUUGCUUAGAAAUUGUAGUUUUUCCUAUUCCUCCUAUGCCACAAAUUCCUAUGAUCCGAGUAUUCUCUGACUCAAGACGCAACAAAAACCGAAUUUCUUCAAUAUGUUUUUCAAUGCCGAUGAUUCCUUGAUUGUAACUGAUAGAAUAAGGAUUCAAUUUUUUCAAAAUAUCUUCUAUAAUUUCUUCAACAAGAGCGUGUUCUGACCUGACCAAUAAUUUAUAAAAUAAAAUAUAAAUAUUCAAGCAUAAAAAUAACUAAAUUAAAAAAAUAUGAAAGAGUAAAAAGAGUGAAGGAUCAUUGAAUUUAUUUGUUUAUGGAUUUAAGUUUUGAGUUGUAGAUAAAAUAAAUAAAUAAAAUAUCUAAUAAAUUAAAAGAAUUUAAUGAAAGGAUUUGAUCUUAUCUGAAAAGUGGAUGUAAGAGAUAUAAUGACCUGAUAACUUUUGAAUCCCAGCCGGAGAGUCCAGCAGCUUCUGUUAGAGCAUCCUUCCAUCUUUGCACUUUGCUGAUGUCUUCCUUAAACUGCUGUUCAUGCUCUUCGAAUGCUUCUUUGUAUCUCUCUUCCUGUUUCCUGACAGUUGCUGGAUCCACCUUGUAGAAAACUGGUAUCACAUUCCUUCCAUAUCUAUUCUUACAAUCCAGUAUCUUAGUCAGUUCAUUCAAACACCACUUUGAAGAUGCAUAGUUUUCAGAGAAAACCACGACAUAGAUCUUUGAUUCUUCUAUUGCAGUUUGAAUUGCAGGUGAAAUUUCUUCACACCUUUGUAGUUCGUAAUCAAUAUAUGCUUCAAUGUGCUUCCUCUGCAGCGCUCCAUAAAGGUGACUAAUGAAGUUUUCACAAGUGUCUUCUCUUCUGAAGUUUAAAAACACAUCGUAUCUAGUUACAGAAGUAGGCAUGACGAAUGAUGAUGAACUUCCUGACAUUGAAAUCGAUUCUCUCCUUUCUCUACAACUCUCAAGGCUCUUUGUUUCUAAAAAUUUGUAUACUAUCAAUUUAGAAACGAAAGUAUAUAUUUAUAUCAUUUCUACCCAAAGUCAACUCCNCUGCUCUUUNUUCUUUUGUUUCUUCGUAUAACCGUAANACCAAAGCNUUUUUCNUUUGUUUCUUCGUAUAAUCGUAAAGCCAAAGCUUUUUUCUGUUGUUUCUUCCUAGAACCGUAAAGCCAAAGCUUUUUUCUUUUGUUUCUUCGUAUAACCAUGAAGCCAAAGCUUUUUGCUGUUGUUUCUUCGUAGAAACGUAAAGCCAAAGCUUUUUUCUUUUGUUUCUUCGUGUAACCGUGAAACCAAAGCUUUUUUUCCUUAUUUUUUUUUCUUUCCUUUAUAAGUCAAACCAGAAGACAGGACUGAUUUGUUAUAAGUAACUAAAGAAUUAAUUUUUUUUAUAUGACUAAUGUGAAAUAUUAUAAAAUGUUUAUUAUUAUUAUUAUUAUUAUUAUUAUUAUUAUUAUGAUAAUGAUGAUGAGAAGUCAUAAUAAUAAAAAAAAUCUUAAUCAAUGUUUUGUUAAUAAAAGGGAUAAAGGAUUUGUUUCUGGUUUGACCAUAAAGUUCUUAAAAAAAAUGAGAGGAGAAAGAAAUAUAAAAAGAUAAUUAGAAAAACGAAGUUAAAAAAUAAGAGAAAUUGAAAAAUAUAUUUUCAUUGGAUUUUUCAUAAAUCAAUAUAAAAUACACUAUUAUGAUUUAUUCAUGUUAAUAGGUGAGAAACAUGAAUCUUAAUUUUAUAAAGUAAUUUUGAAAAAUAAACUAAUAACUUAAGAAAACUACAACUUAUAGCCUACAUAUAAUAUCAAAGAUUUAUGAUUGUCUCUUGUUAUGAUUUUUAUUUUCUAAUGAAGAUAAACUCUAUUAUAAAUUUAGGAAUUGCUCUAUAAAAUUAACAUGAACCUUAAUUUAUGUUUUUCUUUAAAUUUAUUUAUGAACCUAAUUAUUAAAUUUAGAGAUUUUAUGUAUCCGCUGCAAUUUCGCUUGUGGCAUGAAUAAUGGAUUAAAAUAAUUAAAAAAUUGACACUGUUACCUUACCUUACUUGAAUUGGAUGAAGACCAAUGAUGCAUAAAUCGAAAGGGUACAAUUGCAGAUUGAUCCAUCCUAAAGCAUCUGUUACUGUUACGGGUUUUAACAAACUAAAUAUUUUAAUUACAAAUUAGAUUAUUGUUCAUAAUUUGGAUUUCCAAUAAGAGUUAAUGUUGAAUUAAUUGCUUAGUUUUCUGAAAGUACUGGAAGUGUACAGUUUGCAUUGUAUACUUCAUGCAAUUAAUGAGAAUGCUAUGGUUAAUAACAAUUAAAAAGUAUUAUUUAUUUGAUAUAAAGCAUGAUGAAUUUUGUUUGUUAUUAAACUGGUCAAAAUUUUAAAAUUAUUUAAUUUUAAAUUAUUAAUAUUUUUAUUUCAAUUCUUCAUAAUAUAUAACCAUCCUCAAAUAAUAUUCUCUAAUGGGUAACAAACAUGCAUAACGCGACAGUUUUUAGAAGUUUGCUGACUCAAUAACUGAUAAUGAAUAAAAUCAUUCUACCCUGUGAACUUGUGAGUUAUUUGGACCUCUCCUGUUAAUGAUAGUAGUAGCUGGAGGAGUUAGUGCAACAUUGAAUUGCAAGAGUGGAGAAUCGAGUCUUCUUUCUCUACAUUUUAGGAAUAAUCGAUUUUCAUAUUCUCGUAUUUUUGUUAGCUGCACAGUGAUAUCGUCAGUGAUUUUGUGUGCUUGUAGUGGUUAGUUGUGUGAGGUUGAUGAGCUUGAUCCUGCUGGCGGUGCAGGUGCCCCAUUGAUGGCUGCACAUGGUGGUUGUGAUUCGAAGGUUAAAAAGGAACCACUGUGUUAAAAAAAAUUAAGAACAUAGUUAACUCUUACAAAGAUUUUGGAACAGCUAAGGGUAUUAAUAUUUAACAAUUUAUUUUCCACUUUUUUAUAAUUUAUUUUUACAAUAAAGAUAUGUAAUUGAGAUUGAUUUUUUAAUUUACACUUUAUUUUUGUAAAGAAUAAUGGAUUUCAUAUAAUUUUAUUAUUAGAUAUUUUUAUAGCGUUGAAAAAAAUCGUAUAUAUAUUAUAUAAAUUCAAAUAAAUUGUCUUCAACGUUAUGGUCAAACUACGUUAUAAAAAAUUAGCCAUCAUCCACCAACAACUUUUAUAAGUCAUCACUCAAAUGAAAGAAGAUGCCUGAAAGUGAAUAAACGAAGAUCAACAACAAAUAACUUCUUAUCAUCUUGAGUCUUCCACGUUAACCAAGCAAACACAUAUCAUAUUCAAUUGGCAUGAACACUAAGAUCUCAUAAUGCCUUUGCUGCAAAUGAAAGCCAAAUAUGCUAAAGAAGUUAACGAAGCCCAUACAUUAAGAGUUUCAACAAAAUGCAAAUUUGGGACAACGGAGCAAGCAACUUACGUCCACAUCAAACUAUAUCUUAGAAAUCUUGUCAACUACUGAAGGAACCCACCUGCAAAAUGCCAUUGAAAAUGUAAAUAAAAUAGAAAUUAAAAAUGAAAAAUUCAUAAUAAAAGUUGAACGUUUUGAAACUUGUAAUUAACAAAUAUCGGUGAUAAGCCACACUCACCAACUGAAGACCAAUUAGCAGAAAAGCAAGAGACUAGCCCACUAUAAGUAGCUUUCUGCCUUCCUCUUCCUUUGUUUCCAUUGAAGACUCUCCAACAUUGCUUCCUUUCUAUAACAGAAAACUGAUAGUUUUGUCUCCAUGCACAAACCUAACACAAUGAUUUGAUAUUCAAUUAACAUUAAUUGGCAUAAACUGAGAAUACGAGGCUCCAUAGGAUGCAGAAAAAUUGAUUUACGAAUUACCCUUUCAAAUGCAGCUCGUCAAGAUUUUUUAAUGUCUGUACUGCAAAUGCAACCCAAAUAUGCUAAAGAAGUUAAUCAAACAGAUAUAUGAAGACUUUCAAGAAAAUGCAGCUCUGGAACAAGAGAGCAAUCCACCCUGUUUCGACACAGAAACAUCAACCUAUCUCCAACGAUAAUUUAGCAAUUUUGUUGAAUGAACCCACCUGUAAAACGCCAUUGAAAAUUUAAAUAAAACAAAACAAAUUAAAAAUGAGAAAUUCAUAACAAAGUUUUAACGUUUUGAAAAUUGUAAUUAAAGAAUAUUGGUCAUAAACCACUCAGGUAAUUAUCGUUUUCACUUUUUGCUGCCAAAUAACUGCACAACGAGACAUUAGCCCCAGAUCGUUUCAUGAGAAAAUUUUCUGAUCAAACAGAAUCUAAAUUAAGUUUUGUGAGUAUGAAGUGUUUGGUUGAAAGUACGUACCCGCCGAGCCCCAUGGAGAUGGCGCCGGCGGCGACUUCGGCUAUGCCAGCGGUGAGAACGAUGGAGGAGGUGGCAUUGGCGCCGGAGAGGCCGGCGGCGAGGGCGAAGGGGACGGUGAGGCCAUCGGAAACGCCAAUGAUGAUGUCGCGGACUAUUUCGCCGGCGGUGAAGUGCUUCUCGGUGUGUUGGCUGAGAAGGCUCUUUCUCUCAGGUUCGACUCUUAUUCCGUGUUCGGCGGCGGCCAUUGGUGCAAUCUUGUGAAUGUGUUUGAGCUGGCGAAUGUACUAUUGAAUCCAAACAAAGCCUUGCU